GUUUAUACAAACUGUCCGGAGCUGUGUAAAUGUCUUUAUCCAGGGACCCAUGUUUACAGAUUAGAGACAAAUUGAGAAUGAAAUGCUUUCAGCGAAUACAUUGUCAGAAUUCUCCACAUGACAGCUGCUGUUCUGGGUACCAACGAUCUCUGAAGGUGACGCUAAUUAUUCUGGCAAUUACAAUUCAUAUACAUAUGUGUCACACUUCGAGAUCGCCCCAGCUGACCUUAGAAAAUAUUAAAACAUGGACAGGAUAUAUGAACACUUUAUGGGCAAGAGGAUUAAUGACCGAGCGGGAUUACAAUCGGUUUCGAACUUUAGUGAAUAUUCUCACAUCACAUACAAUUCAGAAUAGAAGAAUAAUACAUAAUGGUCGCUAAAAGGAAAACAACGAAUCCCAACAAGUCUCACCAACUACAAGCAAACUCGCUAUGCGUUUUUAUCUGUUUGUGCGUUUCCAUUUCUGUCGAUGCACGUGAGAGACUGCAAGCAUAUUCAGCAAAAAGAAUUCUUUCGGUGAAAUUUGUAUACAUACGAACACUGUAAAUUUAAACUUUACAAUGUGAUUUUUUUUCUUUGCAAUUAAUAAGCAAUUAUAUAUUUUUGAUGCUCUACUAAGAUAUUGUGUUUUUCUGUGAAACGAUUUACUGUGUGUUUGUCACAUUUGCCACUAAAAGAGUUAACUGCAGUGUAAUGAAUUUUUUAUCCUUCUCUCUGAAGGUUAUGCAUCAGGAAAUACCACAGGCACUUGAUGUCAUAUAUUUUUCUCAUCUUAAAGAAAUAUAUGAUACCUCUAGGCCUCCACCUAAUAAUAAACAAGGUACACAUCGCCGAAUCUUGGAUUUAUCAAUAAAAAAAAUCACCUUAAAUCGGCAUCUACUGGCUGAGAUAAGCGACGAAAGGCUAAAAGGGGGACGGAAGUUGACAUUAUUGCGCCAUUCUUUUGGAGACCCCUUCCAAAUUUAGUACUUUUAUGCACAUUAAAAAGUCAUCGAUUUUGAAUUCGAUUAACAUACAAGUUGAACUAAAUGGAAGUUGAUAAUAUAUACUAUCAAUGAUUAAUUUUAUUACACAAAAUCUAUGUAAACUAGUUUAUAAAUGCAUAGCGUGUUUUUGUCAAUAUAUAAAAAAAUAUGCAUUUAUAAACAUGUUUCAUCGAUGACUUUUGAAAAUGGGAUUUCCAAAAUUAUGACGCAAUUUUGUGAACUUCCGUUCUUCCUUUAGCCUUUUGUCUUAGGCAGUAGAUGCAGAUUGUGGGCUGAUUUUUAUUAAUGACAGGUGAAAUUUGCCGUCUUGGUUGAAGUGGUUGUAAACUUAAGCGCUGAAGGAACGAUCGGAUGACGGAUAUGAUCGCAAAAUAACUUUACUAAUGAGUUUCAAGCAAAACUCUCAACGAUGUGACAGUUUUAAAGAAAUCAAAGAUGGCAGCGAUGUGUACCUUGUGUAUUUUAUAUUAUUAGCGGGUGCAUUUCUUUUUAUUAUUAGAAAAAUAUUUGACGUCAGGUGUCUGAAGGAAAUACAUAUAUGAACGAGGAUGAGAAGAACUUUGUAUAUAAGAUACAUGUACAUGUAGUUUAUUAAUACACAUUAAACGGCUUACAAGCAGAAUUAAAUUGAAUGAAACUAUAGAUAUUUCAGCCAUAAAAAUACAAUAUUAAACGUACAUUUUCAUAUGAAAUAUGCCAUUAAAAAUUAACUGCAGAACAAUUAAAAAAUAUUU
This is a long non-coding RNA of Magallana angulata, 1720 nucleotides long. RefSeq lists it as uncharacterized. Lineage: Eukaryota; Metazoa; Mollusca; Bivalvia; Ostreida; Ostreidae. The record is from RefSeq and is a predicted model, not a curated record. The transcript has 4 exons.